GACGAACGCUGGCGGCGUGCUUAACACAUGCAAGUCGAACGGAAAGGCCCUGCUUUUGUGGGGUGCUCGAGUGGCGAACGGGUGAGUAACACGUGAGUAACCUGCCCUUGACUUUGGGAUAACUUCAGGAAACUGGGGCUAAUAACGGAUAGGAGCUCCUGCUGCAUGGUGGGGGUUGGAAAGUUUCGGCGGUUGGGGAUGGACUCGCGGCGUAUCAGCUUGUUGGUGGGGUAGUGGCUUACCAAGGCUUUGACGGGUAGCCGGCCUGAGAGGGUGACCGGCCACAUUGGGACUGAGAUACGGCCCAGACUCCUACGGGAGGCAGCAGAGGGGAAUAUUGCACAAUGGGCGGAAGCCUGAUGCAGCAACGCCGCGUGCGGGAUGACGGCCUUCGGGUUGUAAACCGCUUUCGCCUGUGACGAAGCGUGAGUGACGGUAAUGGGUAAAGAAGCACCGGCUAACUACGUG
Molecule: ribosomal RNA, 468 nt
Filed under: uncultured bacterium
Lineage: Bacteria
Description: partial 16S ribosomal RNA
Rfam family: Bacterial small subunit ribosomal RNA
Source: RNAcentral